UCCCAUAAAGGGGUUAGUAUUACCCCUUAAUGGGAAACUUUGUAGCAUGUAGCA
Molecule: non-coding RNA, 54 nt
Filed under: unclassified sequences
Description: ssNA-helicase RNA
Rfam family: ssNA-helicase RNA
About the family: Firmicutes, Actinobacteria (1 example). Downstream gene
Source: Rfam by way of RNAcentral